UACGAAGGGGGCUAGCGUUACUCGGAUUGACUGGGCGUAAAGGGCGCGUAGGCGGUUUGUACAGUCAGACGUGAAAUUCCUGGGCUCAACCUGGGGGCUGCGUUUGAUACGUGCAGUCUUGAGUUCGGAAGAGGGUCGUGGAAUUCCCAGUGUAGAGGUGAAAUUCGUAGAUAUUGGGAAGAACACCGGUGGCGAAGGGGGCGACCUGGUCCGAUACUGACGCUGAGGCGCGAAAGCGUGGGGAGCAAACAGG
Molecule: ribosomal RNA, 253 nt
Filed under: uncultured bacterium
Lineage: Bacteria
Description: partial 16S ribosomal RNA
Rfam family: Bacterial small subunit ribosomal RNA
Source: RNAcentral